UACGUAGGGGGCGAGCGUUGUCCGGAUUUAUUGGGCGUAAAGAGCUCGUAGGCGGUUUGGCAAGUCGGGUGUGAAAACUCCGGGCUCAACUCGGAGACGCCACUCGAUACUGCCAUGACUCGAGUCCGGUAGGGGAGUGCGGAAUUCCUGGUGUAGCGGUGAAAUGCGCAGAUAUCAGGAGGAACACCGGUGGCGAAGGCGGCACUCUGGGCCGGUACUGACGCUGAGGGGCGAAAGCGUGGGGAGCGAACAGG
RNAcentral lists this ribosomal RNA (254 nucleotides) under uncultured bacterium. RNAcentral's name for it is "partial 16S ribosomal RNA". It matches the Rfam family "Bacterial small subunit ribosomal RNA", at positions 524 to 776 of the family's 1533-position model. The record is from RNAcentral.